GAAAUCGACAUGGGGUGCGCUCCUUGGAGCGCUGAGAACACACCCAUUGAACCUGCUCUAGCUCAUACUAGCGAAGGAAUUGUCGAGGUCUUUCACA
Molecule: non-coding RNA, 97 nt
Filed under: Corynebacterium matruchotii
Lineage: Bacteria; Bacillati; Actinomycetota; Actinomycetes; Mycobacteriales; Corynebacteriaceae
Also listed under: 1 other name
Description: TPP sequence
Rfam family: TPP riboswitch aptamer (THI element)
About the family: Vitamin B(1) in its active form thiamin pyrophosphate (TPP) is an essential coenzyme that is synthesised by coupling of pyrimidine and thiazole moieties in bacteria. The previously detected thiamin-regulatory element, thi box was extended, resulting in a new, highly conserved RNA secondary structure, the THI element, which is widely distributed in eubacteria and also occurs in some archaea.
Source: RNAcentral